This 765-nucleotide ribosomal RNA is filed under the name uncultured Streptococcus sp. RNAcentral's name for it is "bacterial SSU rRNA". It matches the Rfam family "Bacterial small subunit ribosomal RNA", at positions 28 to 776 of the family's 1533-position model. The record is from RNAcentral. Lineage: Bacteria; Bacillati; Bacillota; Bacilli; Lactobacillales; Streptococcaceae.
GAUGAACGCUGGCGGCGUGCCUAAUACAUGCAAGUAGAACGCAGAGGAUUGGUGCUUGCACUAAUCUAAUGAGUUGCGAACGGGUGAGUAACGCGUAGGUAACCUGCCUGGUAGCGGGGGAUAACUAUUGGAAACGAUAGCUAAUACCGCAUAAUAGUUUAUGACUCAUGUUAUAAACUUGAAAGAUACAACUGUAUCACUACCAGAUGGACCUGCGUUGUAUUAGCUAGUAGGUAGGGUAACGGCCUACCUAGGCGACGAUACAUAGCCGACCUGAGAGGGUGAUCGGCCACACUGGGACUGAGACACGGCCCAGACUCCUACGGGAGGCAGCAGUAGGGAAUCUUCGGCAAUGGGGGGAACCCUGACCGAGCAACGCCGCGUGAGUGAAGAAGGUUUUCGGAUCGUAAAGCUCUGUUGUUAAGGAAGAACGGGAGUAGGAGUGGAAAGCCUACUUUGUGACGGUACUUAACCAGAAAGGGACGGCUAACUACGUGCCAGCAGCCGCGGUAAUACGUAGGUCCCGAGCGUUAUCCGGAUUUAUUGGGCGUAAAGCGAGCGCAGGCGGUUAGAUAAGUCUGGAGUAAAAGGCUAUGGCUCAACCAUAGUGUGCUCUGGAAACUGUUUAACUUGAGUGCAGAAGGGGAGAGUGGAAUUCCAUGUGUAGCGGUGAAAUGCGUAGAUAUAUGGAGGAACACCGGUGGCGAAAGCGGCUCUCUGGUCUGUAACUGACGCUGAGGCUCGAAAGCGUGGGGAGCGAACAGG